CAAAGAAUAGUUUAGUUUUAGAAUACUAGCUUUGGGAGUUAGC
This 43-nucleotide transfer RNA is filed under the name Thamnaconus modestus (black scraper). RNAcentral describes it as "partial tRNA-Pro". Lineage: Eukaryota; Metazoa; Chordata; Actinopteri; Tetraodontiformes; Monacanthidae. The record is from RNAcentral.